This is an RNA transcript of Prunus dulcis (almond), 2187 nucleotides long. It is a transcript of the gene named ketol-acid reductoisomerase, chloroplastic, with no coding region annotated. The transcript has 11 exons. NCBI's taxonomy places the organism in Eukaryota, Viridiplantae, Streptophyta, Magnoliopsida, Rosales, Rosaceae. The record is from RefSeq and is a predicted model, not a curated record.
CUCGCAUUCUCCACUUCUCUGCCUCAUUUUUGCUCUGUCAAUGGCGGCGGCUACUUCCUCCUUCUCUCCAGCCCUCUCUGCUCUACAAUUGUCGUCAGCAUCCAAAACCCACGAGGCUCCGUCCAGCCUAGGGUUUUCUUCUGUGGUGUCGAAGACUCUAAACCCUCUCAUAGCCAAAGCUACACGCGGUGUUAACAAUGUCUCCGGCGGCGGCUCGGCUCUCGGAGCUCGUAUGGUGUCAAUGCCGACUGUUAAGCCCCCGGUGUCUCUCGAUUUCGAGACAUCUGUUUUCAAGAAGGAGAAGAUCAAUCUCGCUGGUCACGACGAGUUUAUUGUGAGAGGAGGGCGAGAUCUGUUCCAUUUGUUGCCCGAUGCUUUCAAGGGUAUUAAACAGAUUGGUGUUAUCGGUUGGGGUUCUCAGGGACCUGCUCAAGCUCAGAAUUUAAGAGAUUCUCUAGCUGAAGCAAAGUCUGAUAUUGUGGUCAAGAUUGGGCUUAGGAAGGGUUCCCGUUCUUUUGCUGAAGCUCGUGCAUCUGGUUUCUCUGAGGAGAAUGGGACAUUGGGUGAUAUAUGGGAAACAGUCUCGGGCAGUGACCUCGUUUUGCUACUAAUUUCUGAUUCUGCACAGGCUGAUAAUUAUGAGAAAGUAUUUUCACACAUGAAGCCCAAUAGUAUACUGGGCCUUUCCCAUGGUUUCCUUUUAGGGCAUUUGCAGUCAGUGGGUCUUGACUUCCCCAAGAACAUCAGUGUAAUUGCUGUAUGUCCAAAGGGGAUGGGUCCAUCUGUAAGGCGACUUUAUGUCCAAGGAAAAGAGAUAAAUGGUGCGGGAAUUAAUUCCAGUUUUGCAGUCCACCAGGAUGUUGAUGGUAGAGCCACAGAUGUGGCCCUUGGCUGGUCGGUUGCCCUUGGUUCUCCUUUUACAUUUGCUACUACGCUAGAGCAGGAAUACAAAAGUGACAUCUUUGGCGAGCGAGGCAUUUUACUUGGUGCUGUUCAUGGAAUUGUGGAGUCCCUGUUUAGAAGAUACACUGAAAAUGGAAUGAGUGAAGAUUUGGCUUAUAAAAACACUGUAGAAUGCGUAACUGGAAUUGUGUCAAGGACCAUCUCAACGAAGGGCAUGCUGGAGAUAUACAACUCUUUGUCUGAAGAUGGCAAAAAGGAAUUUGAGACUGCAUAUAGUGCCUCAUACUAUCCUUGCAUGGACAUCUUGUAUGAAUGCUAUGAAGACGUAGCCAGCGGUAGUGAGAUCCGUAGUGUUGUCUUGGCCGGGCGUCGCUUUUAUGAGAAGGAUGGUCUGCCUGCAUUCCCAAUGGGUAAAAUUGAUCAGACCCGCAUGUGGAAAGUCGGGGAGCGUGUCCGAGCAACACGGCCAGCUGGUGACCUAGGCCCAUUACACCCUUUCACUGCUGGUGUUUUUGUUGCCUUAAUGAUGGCACAGAUCGAAGUCUUGAGGAAGAAGGGUCAUUCAUAUUCAGAGAUCAUUAAUGAAAGCGUUAUUGAGUCUGUGGAUUCUUUGAAUCCUUUUAUGCAUGCUCGGGGAGUUGCCUUCAUGGUUGACAAUUGUUCAACAACAGCUCGGUUGGGAUCUAGGAAAUGGGCUCCAAGAUUUGAUUACAUUCUUACUCAGCAGGCCUUGGUUUCUGUGGAUAAUGGUGCACCCAUCAACCAAGACCUCAUCAGCAACUUCAUGUCAGAUCCAGUACAUGGAGCCAUUAAAGUAUGCGCCGAACUGAGACCUACAGUUGAUAUUUCGGUGCCUGCUGAUGCAGACUUUGUGCGACCAGAGUUGCGUCAAUCUAGCAAUUAGAACUUGAAGAACCUACUGCCCGUGUUGGCCUACAAAAUCCGUUUGGCGAAAUAUUAAGGUCUGGUUAUUGGAUUAUGAUGCAGCUUCAGAGAGGAGAGGGAACAAAAGGCCAGCAAAUUUGGGCAUGGUUCCUUUGAAGGCCUAGCUUAUUAGUCAAGUGGAAGUUGACUGGCUAAAAAUUUGCAUUUCUUAUUAUUGCAAGUGCAUCAUUAAUACCGUUGAGUUAGUAGGCUCAUACACAAGAAGCCUGGGAGUUAUUGAUUUUUUACCUAGAUUGGCCCAGGUCAUGAGUUGUAAUGAAAAUGACAGAAGAAUCUGCCUAAAGCACAAUUGGUUAGAUUCAAUUCAAUUUAAUUUAAAUUGAACUUUAAGAAGCUCGA